GAUGAACGCUGGCGGCGUGCUUAACACAUGCAAGUCGAACGAAGCACCUUGAUUCGAUUCUUCGGAUGAAGAUCUUGGUGACUGAGUGGCGGACGGGUGAGUAACGCGUGGGUAACCUGCCUCAUACAGGGGGAUAACAGUUAGAAAUGACUGCUAAUACCGCAUAAGACCACAGCACCGCAUGGUGCAGGGGUAAAAACUCCGGUGGUAUGAGAUGGACCCGCGUCUGAUUAGGUAGUUGGUGGGGUAACGGCCUACCAAGCCGACGAUCAGUAGCCGACCUGAGAGGGUGACCGGCCACAUUGGGACUGAGACACGGCCCAAACUCCUACGGGAGGCAGCAGUGGGGAAUAUUGCACAAUGGGGGAAACCCUGAUGCAGCGACGCCGCGUGAGCGAUGAAGUAUUUCGGUAUGUAAAGCUCUAUCAGCAGGGAAGAAAAUGACGGUACCUGAAUAAGAAGCACCGGCUAAAUACGCG
Molecule: ribosomal RNA, 479 nt
Filed under: uncultured bacterium
Lineage: Bacteria
Description: partial 16S ribosomal RNA
Rfam family: Bacterial small subunit ribosomal RNA
Source: RNAcentral